Molecule: ribosomal RNA, 253 nt
Filed under: uncultured bacterium
Lineage: Bacteria
Description: partial 16S ribosomal RNA
Rfam family: Bacterial small subunit ribosomal RNA
Source: RNAcentral
CACGUAGGGGACGAGCGUUGUCCGGAUUCAUUGGGCGUAAAGAGCGCGCAGGCGGCUUGGUAAGUCGGAUGUGAAAUCCCGAGGCUCAACCUCGGGUCUGCAUCCGAUACUGCCCGGCUAGAGGUAGGUAGGGGAGAUCGGAAUUCCUGGUGUAGCGGUGAAAUGCGCAGAUAUCAGGAGGAACACCGGUGGCGAAGGCGGAUCUCUGGGCCUUACCUGACGCUCAGGCGCGAAAGCUAGGGGAGCGAGCUGG